AUUGAACGCUGGCGGCAGGCCUAACACAUGCAAGUCGAGCGGAGCGGCGGACGGGUGAGUAAUGCCUAGGAAUCUGCCUGGUAGUGGGGGAUAACGUCCGGAAACGGGCGCUAAUACCGCAUACUAUAAGAUGAGGCACGGUCGGAUUAGCUAGUUGGUGGGGUAAAGGCCUACCAAGGCGACGAUCCGUAACUGGUCUGAGAGGAUGAUCAGUCACACUGGGACUGAGACACGGUCCAGACUCCUACGGGAGGCAGCAGUGGGGAAUAUUGGACAAUGUGCGAAAGCCUGAUCCAGCCAUGCCGCGUGUGUGAAGAAGGUCUUCGGAUUGUAAAGCACUUUAAUUUGAGAUGCGUUACCAACAGAAUAAGCGCCGGCUAACUUCGUGCCAGCAGCCGCGGUAAUUC
Molecule: ribosomal RNA, 407 nt
Filed under: uncultured bacterium
Lineage: Bacteria
Description: partial 16S ribosomal RNA
Rfam family: Bacterial small subunit ribosomal RNA
Source: RNAcentral